GACGGAGGGGGCUAGCGUUGUUCGGAAUGACUGGGCGUAAAGGGCGCGUAGGCGGUGUGUCAAGUCAGGCGUGAAAGCCCCGGGCUCAACCUGGGAACAGCGCUUGAGACUGGCACGCUCGAGUUCGGGAGAGGAUGGUGGAAUUCCCAGUGUAGAGGUGAAAUUCGUAGAUAUUGGGAAGAACACCGAUGGCGAAGGCAGCCAUCUGGACCGACACUGACGCUGAGGCGCGAAAGCGUGGGGAGCAAACAGG
RNAcentral lists this ribosomal RNA (253 nucleotides) under uncultured bacterium. Its description in RNAcentral is "partial 16S ribosomal RNA". It matches the Rfam family "Bacterial small subunit ribosomal RNA", at positions 524 to 776 of the family's 1533-position model. The record is from RNAcentral.